CGCGGCCUAUCAGCUUGUUGGUGAGGUAAUGGCUCACCAAGGCAUCGACGGGUAGCUGGUCUGAGAGGACGAUCAGCCACACUGGGACUGAGACACGGCCCAAACUCCUACGGGAGGCAGCAGUAGGGAAUCUUGCGCAAUGGGGGCAACCCUGACGCAGCAACGCCGCGUGUGGGAUGACGGCUUUCGGGUUGUAAACCACUUUCAGUGAUGACGAAAAUGACGGUAAUCACAGAAGAAGGUCCGGCCAACUACGUGCCAGCAGCCGCGGUAACACGUAGGGACCGAGCGUUGUCCGGAUUUAUUGGGCGUAAAGAGCUCGUAGGCGGUUCUGUAAGUCGGAUGUGAAAACUCAGGGCUCAACCCUGAGACGCCAUCUGAUACUGCAGUGACUAGAGUCCGGUAGAGGAAGAUGGAAUUCCUGGUGUAGCGGUGGAAUGCGCAGAUAUCAGGAGGAACACCAAUGGCGAAGGCAGUCUUCUGGGCCGGUACUGACGCUGAGGAGCGAAAGCAUGGGGAGCAAACAGGAUUAGAUACCCUGGUAGUCCAUGCCGUAAACGUUGGGCACUAGGUGUGGGGUCUUCUAACGGAUUCCGUGCCGUAGCUAACGCAUUAAGUGCCCCGCCUGGGGAGUACGG
Molecule: ribosomal RNA, 638 nt
Filed under: uncultured Actinomycetes bacterium
Lineage: Bacteria; Bacillati; Actinomycetota; Actinomycetes
Description: bacterial SSU rRNA
Rfam family: Bacterial small subunit ribosomal RNA
Source: RNAcentral